Long non-coding RNA from Mercenaria mercenaria, 1583 nucleotides. RefSeq lists it as uncharacterized. The transcript has 2 exons. NCBI's taxonomy places the organism in Eukaryota, Metazoa, Mollusca, Bivalvia, Venerida, Veneridae. The record is from RefSeq and is a predicted model, not a curated record.
CACAACAAAACAUGCGCACUACACCAUGUCUCAGUGUGGGAUAUGUAUUAACAUUAACGCCAGUUAGUGGCAUGUAUAUUUAACAUAACAAUAUAUUUACGUAAUAUAAUUAACUUUGGUAGAAUUUUCUUACUCAAGAUACCCUUCUACAAAACAAUAGAUUGAAAACAAACUGAUCAAUUCUAAAUACUAGAAAACGAAAAUUGAAUUCAAACACAUGUGAUAAUUCUACUUUGGAUUUGACUAGACAUCAACGUUUGGAAAGUUUAAUUCAUGACCGACGGCUCCGUACUGUAUCGUCUUCUUAGAGAAGAUGAAAACCCAUUAGCCGAGGGGAUAAAAGCAAAACUGCCUCUUGAUGAAAGUCUUCCGUGGUCACAUGUUCGAAACGGAUCAAGAAAAAAUUCCCAGUGGAUAUCAACUACUGCUUCUAUAGAGGCUGUUGAAAAAUUUGUACGAUUAAGAAGGAAGAAACGCGGGAGUCGAUCAGUGUGCAGAGUUGUCAAGAUAAAUAGGAAAAAACUUGAAAAUUAUGCAAAAGAAUGUGAACUGAGUGUAGAACAGGAUUUACCACUACAUCAAGAGACAUUUUGCGGCAAUGGAUUCUGGGAAAAUGUCGUUCCUUUUGAGAAGAAAACUGGAAAAAUAUUAGAUUUAACUAAAAUGGAGGUUUUAGAUACAUAUCUUCCGAAACAACCCAAUGAUCCAAAAUUUAACGAGCGAGCAAGAAGUUUUGCGACAAAAUAUCAUGAGGUUCUUGUUGAACGCUUCAUUCCAGCUAACUGCUGUAUAUGUGUUAUUAAAUACACAUAAUUAUAAUUUUAGUUCUUCAAAAAAAAACUUCUUUUAUUUUGCAUUUGAAUAAUUCGUUGUUUAUGUUGUCAUGUGUUCAAUGUUUUAUUAUACUCGUAAUGUUACUCUACUUGGUCGGUAUAAAUGUUGCUCAUUUCAGUAACUUGACUCAACAAGACAAAGUCAGCUAUAAUUUUGUUUGGAUGCGUUCUGUAUGCUUCCUAAGGAUACCUUCAGUUGUUUAAAGCAUGUAUAAAUAAUUGAAUCACAGAACUACAUACUGGUAGUAAAAAAGCUAGACAGCAAGGACAAGUAAAAUAUAGACAAAUAAAGAAACACAGCGGGUGCUGCCUUUGAACAUUUCGUGGUAAAACAAGAAUUUAAUUCGGUGCAUACAAAACCUCACGUUCAAAGUUAUGGGACAGUGUAAUAAAAAAUUACUACCACCAGAUAAAUAGGCUUAUGGUACCAGGUAAGGGUAGAUGACGAAGGUGUACGGAAAAUUUUGUAAACAGCAAAAAUGCUUGUGUAAAAAAUAUAAAUGAACCAUACAAGUAUACAAGAAAUGCCUUUGAAGAAGACACAGCAACAACAGAAAUACCUCGACAUUGUUUAUAGACAUGUAUUACGUGACUUUGUUCUAUUUAUAUAGCAGCAUGUGUUCAGAAAUGAUAAUCAAUUACACAACAGAGAGUAAAACCUCCAUUGUUUGCUUACUUCAUAACUGGUUUAGAGAAACAUGUUUUACUGUUAUUUGAAUGAAGUUAUCUAAAUAGUAAGAUAGUAGUAUA